Molecule: long non-coding RNA, 569 nt
Filed under: Pogona vitticeps (central bearded dragon)
Lineage: Eukaryota; Metazoa; Chordata; Lepidosauria; Squamata; Agamidae
Description: lncRNA (ENSPVIG00000000425.1)
Source: RNAcentral
GAUUAAGUAAUAUUCCUGGUUUUAUUUCUUGCAUACAUUUUUUUUAAAGAUUUAAGGAACAUUUUAAGAGCUGCAGUUACAGUUGGAAGAGUUUGCACUCUCUGAAUCUUUAUUCCAAUUAAAACACCUCACUUUUUCCACUGGCAAAGGGGAAAGCUAUAAAGUAACACACUACUCUUUGGCUUCUAAGAUAUGCAAAUAGUUUUCCCACUUAAGAUCUCUUCUAGACUUGGUCAGCACAAAUUACUAAAGCAUUCAGUGUGGCUCAGUGAGAGACAAUGACUGAGCCGUAACAGAGGGGUUCAGCACUUUUGAAGAUGUGAACGCUGAGGCACCUGUGAUAAAGAAAAGAGUUUUAAAAGCAAGACAUACAAUCCAGAGUUAAGCACUCAAAGCCUUCAGCUUGUUGUUGUUAUAUGCUGUCAAGUCAACUCCGACCCAUGGCAACCCUACGCUUGAGCAACCUCAAGAAUGUCCUGUCAUUCACAGCGGUUGCAAACUCAAGGCCGUGCCUUCAUUUCCUUCAACUGAGGAUCCUCCCUCUGCCUACAAAGCAAGAAGAAACAUGA